RNAcentral lists this ribosomal RNA (253 nucleotides) under uncultured bacterium. RNAcentral's name for it is "partial 16S ribosomal RNA". It matches the Rfam family "Bacterial small subunit ribosomal RNA", at positions 524 to 776 of the family's 1533-position model. The record is from RNAcentral.
UACGGAGGGUGCGAGCGUUGUCCGGAAUCACUGGGCGUAAAGGGCGCGUAGGCGGCUCAUGAAGGCUGUGGUGAAAGUCCGGGGCUCAACCUCGGAUCGGCCGUGGCGACUCGUGGGCUGGAGCACUGUAGAGGCGGGUGGAAUUCCGGGUGUAGCGGUGGAAUGCGUAGAGAUCCGGAAGAACACCAGUGGCGAAGGCGGCCCGCUGGGCAGUGGCUGACGCUGAAGCGCGACAGCGUGGGGAGCAAACGAG